UGUCCAAAAUGGGUUGGAAAGAAGGUGAGGGACUGGGGAGCUCGAGAAACGGUAUUGCAGACCCCAUCAUGGCUGGUAAUGUAAAGAAGGACAACUUGGGUGUUGGUGCUCAACGUCCUGGAGAGGUGACUGCCGACGAUGAUAUAUAUGAGCAGUAUAAGAAGCGUAUGAUGCUUGGUUACCGCUACAGACCAAAUCCUUUGAACAACCCUCGAAAAGCA
This 221-nucleotide unclassified non-coding RNA is filed under the name Hevea brasiliensis (rubber tree). The record is from RNAcentral. Lineage: Eukaryota; Viridiplantae; Streptophyta; Magnoliopsida; Malpighiales; Euphorbiaceae.